RNAcentral lists this ribosomal RNA (301 nucleotides) under uncultured bacterium. RNAcentral's name for it is "partial 16S ribosomal RNA". It matches the Rfam family "Bacterial small subunit ribosomal RNA", at positions 509 to 807 of the family's 1533-position model. The record is from RNAcentral.
CAGUAGCCGCGGUAAUACGAAGGGUGCAAGCGUUAAUCGGAAUUACUGGGCGUAAAGCGCGCGUAGGUGGUUUGGUAAGAUGGAUGUGAAAUCCCUGGGCUCAACCUGGGAACUGCAUCCAUAACUGCCUGACUAGAGUACGGUAGAGGGUGGUGGAAUUUCCUGUGUAGCUGUGAAAUGCGUAGAUAUAGGAAGGAACACCAGUGGCGAAGGCGACCACCUGGACUGAUACUGACACUGAGGUGCGAAAGCGUGGGGAGCAAACAGGAUUAGAUACCCGUGUAGUCCCUGUCUCUUAUAC